Molecule: unclassified non-coding RNA, 747 nt
Filed under: Hevea brasiliensis (rubber tree)
Lineage: Eukaryota; Viridiplantae; Streptophyta; Magnoliopsida; Malpighiales; Euphorbiaceae
Source: RNAcentral
AGAAGGUUCACUAAUGGAGGUAUCGCACCGGACCUUCCGAUCGCGAUUUUAUUCUCUUCAAUUUGCGAUAAUCGAAGCAGAGCACAAGCGGAAUUCUCUUUCGCAGUUGAGUUUCCAAUUUUCAAAGCUCGAACUAACGGUUUAAUCGCUCCUGAUUCUGCGAUAAGCUCCUUGUUUUCAUCGCAGAGAGAUAAAUUCAGCACCGCCGUAACACCGUACUCUUGAAGCUGAAGAUCAGUGGAAGAGAUAAGCGAAAUUAACGGCUUAAUCGCUCCGGCUCUAGCAAUUUUCAAACGAUUCUCCGGUUUAUUCUUCGCUAAUAGCCUAAUCUCCAUUGCGGCUUGUUUUUGCACAUCGAUAGAAUUCGAUUCGAGAUCGGAAACAAGUUGUUGAAUCAAUUCAUCGGAGUUAUAAUUAUCCGACGCACACGCAAUUAAUAACCGCCGGCUUUGAGAAGAAGUCGUCGGAAACUCACCGGAUCUAUCGCUAUUGCAGUCGCUGAAAGCAGACGAAGAUUCAUUAAUUCCGAGACCGGUAAAUGUUCUUCCCAUAUAAGUGAAAUUAGAUUGAACUUCUGUUUCCAUUGUCGUCGGAGAUGAUGAGCUAAUUUAAUUCCUCGACUGUUUUUCGUCGCCGGUAAUAGGUAUUUAACGUCUCCGGCGAGUUUUCAAAGGUUUGCCGGUGUUAUCGGAAAAUGAGAGGUGAUAACUGAAACGACGGCGUUUGGUUGUUGGAGUUUGAUUUGGG